UGCGGGCCCUCUGGGUCCAACCUCCCAUCCGUGUCUAUCUGUACCCUGUUGCUUCGGCGUGGCCACGGCCCGCCGGAGACUAACAUUUGAACGCUGUCUGAAGUUUGCAGUCUGAGUUUUUAGUUAAACAAUCGUUAAAACUUUCAACAACGGAUCUCUUGGUUCCGGCAUCGAUGAAGAACGCAGCGAAAUGCGAUAAUUAAUGUGAAUUGCAGAAUUCAGUGAAUCAUCGAGUCUUUGAACGCACAUUGCGCCCCCUGGUAUUCCGGGGGGCAUGCCUGUCCGAGCGUCAUUGCUGCCCUCAAGCACGGCUUGUGUGUUGGGCUUCCGUCCCUGGCAACGGGGACGGGCCCAAAAGGCAGUGGCGGCACCAUGUCUGGUCCUCGAGCGUAUGGGGCUUUGUCACCCGCUCCCGUAGGUCCAGCUGGCAGCUAGCCUCGCAACCAAUCUUUUUAACCAGGUUGACCUCGGAUCAGGUAGGGAUACCCGCUGAACUUAAGCAUAUCAAUAAGCGGAGGAA
Molecule: ribosomal RNA, 520 nt
Filed under: Eurotium sp. VG7H5
Lineage: Eukaryota; Fungi; Ascomycota; Eurotiomycetes; Eurotiales; Aspergillaceae
Description: eukaryotic LSU rRNA
Rfam family: 5.8S ribosomal RNA (bases 139-292)
Source: RNAcentral